Long non-coding RNA from Vespula vulgaris, 1001 nucleotides. RefSeq lists it as uncharacterized. The record is from RefSeq and is a predicted model, not a curated record. Lineage: Eukaryota; Metazoa; Arthropoda; Insecta; Hymenoptera; Vespidae. The transcript has 5 exons.
UGCCUAGUACGCAGUAUUGAUUACUUUGCAUAAAAUGUAGUGGCUCCUACCAUCUAGCCCUGCCUUGCAGAUCAGCUCGGUCAUCCGACGAGGCAGUCUGGUGGAGGAACUCCUCUGCGGAAGUCAUCCUUUCAAUAAUUUUUGAUCGAGUAAUACGCAAAGAUAUACCAGGUUAAACGAAGGCGAAAGCAGUUUCAAUAGCUUAGAAAUAUUGCAAAGCUGGAGAAUUGACUGCAUGAUUAUUAAAUAUUCGACAUCCGAAAUGAAACACAUUUACUUUGAUAGUCCUUGCUCUUCCGUACAUCCGACGAUAGGUCGUUUAUGGAUAGCAUGAAUGUCCGACCAUCAAACAGAUUAGGAAAUGACAACGUUUUCCUUUUUAAUCUUAUAUUUAAGUGAUCGAUCAAUCAAUGUUGUAUUUAUCGAAUGAUUUUAUGAUGACGACGCGAGUAUUUCUAUUGAUGAGAGGGACAUUAGGUCUCUUAACUGUAGCUAUCCUGAAUAUUGUAUUAGUGUAUAUAAAUCAAGAACCUACAUAUUUAUUAAGUAAUGUAAUGAAAAAUAUUAUAUAUAUGGGAAGCAAGAUGCUCCAUGAAAGAGAGGAGAUCAUAAAAGCAGAGGAGGAUGCUGAUGCUGCUCACGAAUUUAUUACAAAUCUUCCAAAUGAUCUGGUAGGCAAGUUAGUGAGGGAAUCACCUAAUUAUCUGGUUUAUGGAAACAACAUGUUUCUAUUGCUAGAGCAUUACUAUAGCAACCAUCGACAUCAAUAUUGAAUUUUAAUACACGAGUGUAUUGAAUCGUGAAAGCAGAAGAGUGGUCCAAGAAGUUGGAAAUUCGUACUGAAGAAGGAACAUCAUUAGCUACUGCUCUUGCAUGCAUUAUGUGAUUGAGAAUACCUAGGAAACGGAAAAAGGAAAAAGAACAUUUGUGUCUUUCCGACGAAAUUUGGAAAAACCAAUAUGGCAUUGUUUUAUAAAGUUUGGAACGGUGGUACGAGGAAA